Long non-coding RNA from Solanum tuberosum (potato), 2272 nucleotides. RefSeq lists it as uncharacterized. The record is from RefSeq and is a predicted model, not a curated record. NCBI's taxonomy places the organism in Eukaryota, Viridiplantae, Streptophyta, Magnoliopsida, Solanales, Solanaceae. The transcript has 3 exons.
UGCAGGCAAACAGUUUUGUGAGAAAGACACUUACCACUUGCUAUUUGGAUGGUAAUAUAGUUUAGUGCUUUUUAGAAUCAAUUGGAUUAAGUUGGGGGUGGAAAACUAAUUUCUACGAGGAAAGAAUGUUUGGCCAAGGAAAAUCAGAUGUCAGACCUAUUCAACAAACAAGAAACAACACUUCUUAGCUAAACUAUGUGUUGGGAGUAGGAAGUCAAGUCAAAUACUGCUUUAUAUGCCUUGCAUUAAUUAUCUACCAAGGCUGUGAAGUUGUACUCGUGUUGUUCCUGUAUUGGGACUAGGAGCUUCUUAUUGAUCCUACUAAAAUGGUUGUAGUCUUUUUCAUAUUAUAGAUCUUGUUACAUAAUCAACACUGGCCUGCCAAAUAUUUCAUUUUCCUUGUUAAAUGGUUUAACCUUUUCCCAUUUGUUGUUUCUUGUGUUGUUCCCGUCUUGGGUCCAGGAACGUCUUAUUGACCCUACUAAAAUGGUAGUAAUCUUUUUUCGUAUUAUAGAUCCUGUUGCAUAAUCACCAUUGGUCUGACAAAUAUUCCAUUUUCCUUGUUAAAUGGUUUAACCUUUUCCCAUUUGUUGUUUCUUGUGCUGUUCCUUUCUUGGGACUAGGAGCUUCUUAUUGACCCUACUACAAUGGUAGUAAUAUUUUUCGUAUUAUAGAUCCUAAUGCAUAAUGUCCCUAGGUCUGUCAAAUAUUUCAUUUUCCUUGUUAAAUGGUUUAUCCUUUUCCCAUUUGUUGUUUCGUAUGCUGUUUGGGAUUGGGACUUAGGUGCUUCUUAUUAACCCUUACUAAAAUGAUGGUUAUCUUUUUCAUAUUAUAGAUCGUAUCGCAUAAUCACCAUUUGUCUGCCAAAUAUUUUGAGACCAAACAUGUUUGGCAAUUGCACUGUUCAAGUUGUUUUGUGCAAUGCUGUUUGAUGGGGGAGUCAAGUCAAAUACUGGUUUAUAUGCCUUGCAGCAAUCAUUUAUUACAAACAUAAACUCGAGAAGAUGACAGGCAGGGACAAGGACUACAUAUAUAUGGCAACUUCUGAUUUGCUAAAUGAGCAAAGAGGGGUUUAAACUAAAUGUUUCUGGAUUGGCAGUGAAAUGGUUUGACCUUUUCUCAUUUGCUCAUAAGUAUCCACUGAGUCAGUUGUAGAGAAGACAACUCAGUUCCAUAUUUGAUUUGCCAACCCAAUUGGCUGAACUUGAGUCAGGACAGAACAUGCCUGAAUUUAAUUGGAGUCUGUGUUUGGUGGAGGAACUGGAUCGGGAAAAAGAGGGAUUCAUUAAGCUUUGGUGGAGGAACUAGAUCGAAUGACAGAUUCAUUUGGAAUUAAGUAAAGACUUGCAUAUUACAAUGAACUGCAUUUUAUUCAGAGCUGCAAAGUAGCUUGGCUUGCAUAUUAUUAUGAUGUGUAUAACAAUAUAUAAUAAUUUAUGUAUAUCGUUUAGGAAAAGUAAACAAUGAAUUCGAUCAACUAUCUAUGUUAAGAUCCUGACUCCUCGCCAUAGCGCAAAUAGAAGAAAUCUCACACUGAGGUUGCACAUAUAUCUUGUUUUUGGACAUAUUGUAUCGUGAGACUGUAAAUAGGAGCACUUGUACAUCCCCAAACACAAAGGAUAGUAAGCAAACGAACUGGCGAAUCGGUUAGACAUAACUGGAUCCAAAAACUAUUGCAUCUUCAAGCAUGUCUUCUCGUCUCUCAUCUGCUGGUAUCUAGAAUCUUUCUUUUCUUCACCAUCAUCUCAAGGCGACUUUCAACUGUCCCAAUUCUAAACAAGUUUGCAUAUUUUACCAUUCAACAAGUAAAACAUUAUCGAGAAGAGGAUUGCCCGUCAAAAGUCGGUAGGGGAUCUCAACAACAUCCACAGUUACAGAGGACGAAUCAAAGUAUUGUUAGCUCAUCAUUUGAAGAAAGACAUUGCCUGAAGAAGUCAAAAAAGAGACUUUCUUACAAAUCAUGAUAGGAGGUACCUUUAUAUGUGUAGUUUCCACACACAUUGUCGUAAUAGCUCUUUUAAUGUUGUUAUUGGUAGUUUCAUUUGAACGAGGAAUGUCAUGUGGUUACUAGUGAAGAAAGUAAAGAAGCAGGGGAUCAGGAUCAUAAGAAAAAAAGAGUGCGUUUAUCCUUGCGUCGGUCCGCAAUUCCUCCAAAAAACUGCAAAAACAAAUGGUCCAGUAAACUAGAAGUUCAGAGAUACUUUUGCUGCCUGUAAUGAAUCUUUGUUCAAGAGCCAGAGAGGGAAGAGAUGGGGGAGCCUUUUCUUGUCUA